RNAcentral lists this ribosomal RNA (861 nucleotides) under uncultured bacterium. Its description in RNAcentral is "bacterial SSU rRNA". It matches the Rfam family "Archaeal small subunit ribosomal RNA", at positions 477 to 1337 of the family's 1478-position model. The record is from RNAcentral.
CGGCUGCUCGAGUGAUGGCCACUAUUACUGGGUUUAAAGCGUCCGUAGCUUGACUGUUAGGUCUCUUGGGAAAUCUUCACGCUCAACGUGAAGGCGUCUAAGAGAUACCGGCAGUCUUGGAACUGGGAGAGGUAAACCGUACUUCGGGGGUAGGAGUGAAAUCUUGUAAUCCUCGAGGGACGACCUAUGGCGAAGGCAGUUUACCAGAACAGCUUCGACAGUGAGGGACGAAAGCUGGGGGAGCAAACGGGAUUAGAUACCCCGGUAGUCCCAGCCGUAAACAAUGUGCGUUAGGUGUGUCGGUAACCACGUGUUACUGAUGCGCCGAAGAGAAAUCGUGAAACGCACCACCUGGGAAGUACGGUCGCAAGGCUGAAACUUAAAGGAAUUGGCGGGGGAGCACCACAACAGGUGGAGCCUGCGGUUUAAUUGGAUUCAACGCCGGACAUCUCACCGGAUAAGACAGCUGAAUGAUUGUCAAUCUGAAGGUUUUACAUGACUAGCUGAGAGGAGGUGCAUGGCCGUCGUCAGUUCGUACUGUGAAGCAUCCUGUUAAGUCAGGCAACGAGCGAGACCCACGCCGACAAUUGCCAGCAGCAUCUCCGGAUGGCUGGGGACAUUGUCGGGACCGCCUCUGCUAAAGAGGAGGAAGGAAUGGGCAACGGUAGGUCAGCAUGCCCCGAAUUAUCCGGGCUACACGCGGGCUACAAUGGACGGGACAAUGGGUAACAACACCGAAAGGUGCAGUCAAUCUCCUAACCCCGUCCUUAGUUAGGAUUGCGGGUUGCAACUCACCCGCAUGAAUCUGGAAUCUGUAGUAAUCGCGUUUCACUAUAGCGCGGUGAAUACGUCCCUGCUCCU